GGAGCGAUGGCAGAGAGGUCGAUUGCACCGGUCUUGAAAACCGGCAUACCGCAAGGUAUCGUGGGUUCAAAUCCUACUCGCUCCG
Treponema saccharophilum DSM 2985 is the source of this 85-nucleotide transfer RNA. It matches the Rfam family "tRNA". From Rfam's summary of the family: Transfer RNA (tRNA) molecules are approximately 80 nucleotides in length. Their secondary structure includes four short double-helical elements and three loops (D, anti-codon, and T loops). NCBI's taxonomy places the organism in Bacteria, Pseudomonadati, Spirochaetota, Spirochaetia, Treponematales, Treponemataceae. The record is from Rfam.